Molecule: long non-coding RNA, 464 nt
Organism: Parus major (Great Tit)
Lineage: Eukaryota; Metazoa; Chordata; Aves; Passeriformes; Paridae
Exons: 2
Source: RefSeq, a predicted model, not a curated record
CAUCAGCCUCCAUUUUAUCAUCCUCUUCAAUUUCUUCUGCCUUGCACUUAGAGUUCAUUUGGAUCAUUAACUUCUGAAAAUGAAGUGAGAAACAGCUUAAACAUGUAACCAUGACACAAUGUCAACAGUGCUGAAAUUCACUGCUAGAAGAGCACAAAAGAACCAGGAUUUGAAGUGAGCUGGACACAAGAUGACAGAACUGUCCUGAACUGACUUUACCAUGUGACUGGAACUGAAUCUACUAACACAAGGUUUAAAACUUCUUUUUCCAAGUGAAGGAGAAAAGCAGCAAUGAAUGAAUUGGAUCCAGACUGAAGGAAACUAAUUACAUGCAUCUAAGAAGAAUGUGAGUGAAAGAAAACAAAACACAGAAGAACUGAAAGUAGGUCAAACUACACUAGGCAACCUCAAGAACAGCCAUAAAAAUAAGUAAUAAAAAAAGUUGUCAUGCCAGUCUCUUACUA